RNAcentral lists this ribosomal RNA (161 nucleotides) under uncultured bacterium. RNAcentral's name for it is "partial 16S rRNA". It matches the Rfam family "Bacterial small subunit ribosomal RNA", at positions 358 to 511 of the family's 1533-position model. The record is from RNAcentral.
AGAAUCUUCCACAAUGGACGAAAGUCUGAUGGAGCAACGCCGCGUGAGUGAAGAAGGUUUUCGGAUCGUAAAGCUCUGUUGUUGGUGAAGAAGGAUAGAGGCAGUAACUGGUCUUUAUUUGACGGUAAUCAACCAGAAAGUCACGGCUAACUACGUGCCAG